UGGUCAGAGAAGGGGCUCCUUUGCCGGGAAGACAAAUCAGGAAGUGAGGAACUAAGAAGGAAAUGCCUUUGUGAUGAUGUCUGUAAGGGAGGGUCCUCUUUCAUUUUUGCAUUCCAGACAUCAGAAGUUGGUGCUGGAGGAGUGCUAGUUGACGUCCAUGACCAUAAAGGUCUUUAAUAUCAUCUGGAAUCAGCUAAUUUGGACAACACAGUGUAGAACCACGCGGGGACUCGCCUCGAAGCCGCAAGCAUGCAGAGACAUCUCAGCUGAACCAGCACACAAAGUCACAUGAUGUCAAACAAACUUAUCCAAUUGAGUCAACACCACCGUAGCCUGAGGCAACCAGUGUCCUGGCCCGAGAAGCCCUUUUUAUGCUAUCAUCAGCCAAAAAGAGUUUUGUUAUGAACGCCCUGACAUAAGAAGCAAAGAUGGCAGCUCACCUCCAUUAACCACCAACCACCGCACGGCCCGUCUCCCACCGCCAGCCAGGCGCCCUGAAGCCGAGCAGCCGCCGUCGAGAGAAGCUUGUAUGUCCGCCUGCCUGCUGGAGGCUGAGUGGCCGCCUGAGCCCCGCCAGGCCAGCGGCCAGCCCGGCUGAUGUCACCGGGCCGGGGAGGGGCUCGGGCGGGUACAGCCCUUCCCCACCACCGUCAUCAACACACACACAUCAUUAUGUUAUAUGCGACAAAAACAUGCAUAAUCUGAAUAUAAAACGUAAUCAUGUAAACAACACCCCGCAAAUACACUACAGUCACAAUACAUUAAUUAAAUUACACUAUUCAUAACUUUAAUAAAAUGCCCAAACCCUCUUAUGAAGUAUUUUAAUCAAUUUCAUUAUAUUGCAAGAGGAUAAUUGCACUUCCGGUAUAGGUUCUCUUAUUGAGAGUAAAGCAUGUACAAUCAAUUUAUGACAAAACGCUUAACAUUGAAUGAUUAACAUUAACAUUUCACUUAACAUUGCUCUAUU
Doryrhamphus excisus (bluestripe pipefish) is the source of this 967-nucleotide non-coding RNA. Lineage: Eukaryota; Metazoa; Chordata; Actinopteri; Syngnathiformes; Syngnathidae. The record is from RefSeq and is a predicted model, not a curated record.